This 460-nucleotide ribosomal RNA is filed under the name uncultured bacterium. Its description in RNAcentral is "partial 16S ribosomal RNA". It matches the Rfam family "Bacterial small subunit ribosomal RNA", at positions 338 to 795 of the family's 1533-position model. The record is from RNAcentral.
CCUACGGGAGGCAGCAGUGAGGAAUAUUGGUCAAUGGACGAGAGUCUGAACCAGCCAAGUAGCGUGAAGGAUGACUGCCCUAUGGGUUGUAAACUUCUUUUAUAUGGGAAUAAAAUGUUCCACGUGUGGGAUUUUGUAUGUACCAUAUGAAUAAGGAUCGGCUAACUCCGUGCCAGCAGCCGCGGUAAUACGGAGGAUCCGAGCGUUAUCCGGAUUUAUUGGGUUUAAAGGGAGCGUAGGCGGUUUGUUAAGUCAGUUGUGAAAGUGUGCGGCUCAACCGUAAAAUUGCAGUGGAAACUGGCAGUCUUGAGUACAGUAGGGGUGGGCGGAAUUCGUGGUGUAGCGGUGAAAUGCUUAGAUAUCACGAAGAACUCCGAUAGCGAAGGCAGUUCACUGGACUGCAACUGACACUGAGGCUCGAAAGUGUGGGUAUCAAACAGGAUUAGAUACCCUAGUAGUC